ACGGGUGAGUAAUAUAUCGGAACGUGCCCAAUCGUGGGGGAUAACGUAGAGAAAUUUACGCUAAUACCGCAUACGAUCUAAGGAUGAAAGCGGGGGAUCGCAAGACCUCGCGCGAUUGGAGCGGCUGAUAUCAGAUUAGGUUGUUGGUGAGGUAAAAGCUCACCAAGCCGACGAUCUGUAGCUGGUUUGAGAGAACGACCAGCCACACUGGGACUGAGACACGGCCCAGACUCCUACGGGAGGCAGCAGUGGGGAAUUUUGGACAAUGGGCGAAAGCCUGAUCCAGCAAUGCCGCGUGCAGGAAGAAGGCCUUCGGGUUGUAAACUGCUUUUGUACGGAACGAAACGGCUCUUUCUAAUAAAGAGGGCUAAUGACGGUACCGUAAGAAUAAGCACCGGCUAACUACGUGCCAGCAGCCGCGGUAAUACGUAGGGUGCGAGCGUUAAUCGGAAUUACUGGGCGUAAAGCGUGCGCAGGCGGUUAUGUAAGACAGUUGUGAAAUCCCCGGGCUCAACCUGGGAAUUGCAUCUGUGACUGCAUAGCUAGAGUACGGUAGAGGGGGAUGGAAUUCCGCGUGUAGCAGUG
This 585-nucleotide ribosomal RNA is filed under the name Polaromonas sp. RDB-140. Its description in RNAcentral is "bacterial SSU rRNA". It matches the Rfam family "Bacterial small subunit ribosomal RNA", at positions 102 to 683 of the family's 1533-position model. The record is from RNAcentral. RNAcentral also lists the same sequence under 34 other names. Lineage: Bacteria; Pseudomonadati; Pseudomonadota; Betaproteobacteria; Burkholderiales; Comamonadaceae.